This 881-nucleotide long non-coding RNA is filed under the name Homo sapiens (human). RNAcentral describes it as "non-protein coding lnc-SIPA1L3-6:13". The record is from RNAcentral. Lineage: Eukaryota; Metazoa; Chordata; Mammalia; Primates; Hominidae.
AGGGACUGCGGGUCUGGAUAUUCCGUCGUGGACUACGUUUCCCACUGACGACGGAGAAAACUUGGUCCUUUGGCUCCGCGCUGCGCGUGACCUGCAGUCACCUGAGCAAGAGGGCGGCGUGGGUCGCUGCGGGAGCCCCUACAGCCCCAGCCCGCAGCCCACGUGGCACCCUACAGGGCUGUGAGAGUGGGGCUGCUGGAGGCGUUCAGAGCGCGGAGGCCCCAGGCGCGGGCCGGGCUCUCUCCCGCCUCCUCAGGCCCGGGGGUGCUGGAGCUGCCGAGUGUCUUUGCUCAGUUCAAAAGCCACAGAAGAAGUUCUGGACGAUGUGGGCCUUCAAUCUUCUAAGAUGGGAAUAGAAAGAAGAGGAUCUACCCAGACCAGGACCCUGCUGCCCAAUCUCAGCUCUGGCUUUCUGGAUCUGUGCUUCUCUGGUAGAGGAACCCUGAGGACUGAUCUACUCUUGCAGUUCUAAAACCAUGGCCCAUGACAUGACUUUUCUAAGCCAGAUGUAAUUACAUCAUUGGAGCAAGGAAAAGAGCCCUGGAUGAUUGUAAGGGAAGAAAAAGGAAGAUGGUGUACAGGAUCUUAUUUAUGAGGAACUUCAAGUUCUUCCACUCAGGAAUAAGUCUGGAUGAAGAUGAUUUCCUAGUGAUAUCCCAGCUCUUUACAGACAUCUUGGAUUACAGAACCUGUGGAAGGUAAAGGUCUCUUAAUCAACAACAUCUAAUGUUAGAACGGAAAUUAAGGGAAUUGGGAAAGAGGGAAGGGCAGCAAGAUAAAUUAGAGAAGUACUCCUUUAGAAGCCAGGCGCGGUGGCCCAUGCCUGUAAUCCCAGCACUUUGGGAGGCCAAGGCAGGUGGAUCACUUGAGCCCAGGAAUUU